RNAcentral lists this ribosomal RNA (578 nucleotides) under uncultured fungus. Its description in RNAcentral is "eukaryotic LSU rRNA". The stretch from base 212 to 365 matches the Rfam family "5.8S ribosomal RNA". The record is from RNAcentral. Lineage: Eukaryota; Fungi.
CUUGGUCAUUUAGAGGAAGUAAAAGUCGUAACAAGGUUUCCGUAGGUGAACCUGCGGAAGGAUCAUUAGAGAGACAUUGCCCUUCGGGGUACAUCUCCCACCCUGAUUACCAUACCUGGUUGCUUUGGCGGGUGACACGGCUCCGGCCGACGUCCGCCAGAGGACAUCAAACUCCAGUCAACUGUCGUCAGAGAAACAAUACAAUAUUUAAAACUUUCAACAACGGAUCUCUUGGUUCUGGCAUCGAUGAAGAACGCAGCGAAAUGCGAUACGUAAUGUGAAUUGCAAUUUUUAGUGAACCAUCGAAUCUUUGAACGCACAUUGCGCCCUCUGGUAUUCCGGGGGGCAUGCCUGUUCGAGCGUCAUUACAACCCUCAAGCUCUGCUUGGUAUUGGGCCCGCGACCUCCGGGUCGGCCCCAAAGACAUCGGCGGUGCCCGGCGUAGCCCUGGAGCGUAGUAAAACACCUCGUUCCUCAGGAUGCCCGUGGCUGCCUGCCUCGUACACAUACAUAUACCGGUUGACCUCGGAUCAGGUAGGGAUACCCGCUGAACUUAAGCAUAUCAAUAAGCGGAGGAA